RNAcentral lists this ribosomal RNA (253 nucleotides) under uncultured bacterium. RNAcentral describes it as "partial 16S ribosomal RNA". It matches the Rfam family "Bacterial small subunit ribosomal RNA", at positions 524 to 776 of the family's 1533-position model. The record is from RNAcentral.
GACGUAGGGCGCGAGCGUUGUCCGGAUUUAUUGGGCGUAAAGAGCUCGUAGGCGGCUUGUCGCGUCGAAUGUGAAAUUUUAGGGCUCAACCCUGACAUUGCAUUCGAUACGGGCAGGCUUGAGUUCGGUAGGGGAGACUGGAAUUCCUGGUGUAGCGGUGAAAUGCGCAGAUAUCAGGAGGAACACCGGUGGCGAAGGCGGGUCUCUGGGCCAUAACUGACGCUGAGGAGCGAAAGCGUGGGGAGCGAACAGG